AUUAAGUUAUCCGCCUGGGGAGUACGGUCGCAAGAUUAAAACUCAAAGGAAUUGACGGGGGCCUGCACAAGCGGUGGAGCAUGUGGUUUAAUUUGAAGCAACGCGCAGAACCUUACCAGCGUUUGACAUCCCGCGCUACCCAGAGAGAUUUGGGGUUCCCUUCGGGGACGCGGUGACAGGUGCUACAUGGCUGUCGUCAGCUCGUGUCGUGAGAUGUUGGGUUAAGUCCCGCAACGAGCGCAACCCUCGUCCUUAGUUGCCAUCAUUUAGUUGGGCACUCUAAGGAAACCGCCGGUGAUAAGCCGGAGGAAGGUGGGGAUGACGUCAAGUCCUCAUGGCCCUUACACGCUGGGCUACACACGUGCUACAAUGGCGGUGACAGUGGGCAGCCACCUCGCGAGAGGGAGCUAAUCUCCAAAAGCCGUCUCAGUUCGGAUUGUUCUCUGCAACUCGAGAGCAUGAAGGCGGAAUCGCUAGUAAUCGCGGAUCAGCAUGCCGCGGUGAAUACGUUCCCAGGCCUUGUACACACCGCCCGUCACACCAUGGGAGUUGGUUUCACCCGAAGGCAGUGCGCUAACCGCAAGGAGGCAGCUGACCACGGUGGGAUCAGCGACUGGGGUGAAGUACUGUAAUCCAAAGGUAGCCGUAGGGGAACCUGCGGCUGGAUCACCUCCUUUCU
RNAcentral lists this ribosomal RNA (679 nucleotides) under uncultured bacterium. Its description in RNAcentral is "bacterial SSU rRNA". It matches the Rfam family "Bacterial small subunit ribosomal RNA", at positions 859 to 1533 of the family's 1533-position model. The record is from RNAcentral.